GAUGAACGCUGGCGGCGUGCCUAAUACAUGCAAGUCGAGCGAACGGACGAGAAGCUUGCUUCUCUGAUGUUAGCGGCGGACGGGUGAGUAACACGUGGAUAACCUACCUAUAAGACUGGGAUAACUUCGGGAAACCGGAGCUAAUACCGGAUAAUAUUUUGAACCGCAUGGUUCAAAAGUGAAAGACGGUCUUGCUGUCACUUAUAGAUGGAUCCGCGCUGCAUUAGCUAGUUGGUAAGGUAACGGCUUACCAAGGCAACGAUGCAUAGCCGACCUGAGAGGGUGAUCGGCCACACGGGAACUGAGACACGGUCCAGACUCCUACGGGAGGCAGCAGUAGGGAAUCUUCCGCAAUGGGCGAAAGCCUGACGGAGCAACGCCGCGUGGGUGAUGAAGGUCUUCGGAUCGUAAAACUCUGUUAUUAGGGAAGAACAUAUGUGUAAGUAACUGUGCACAUCUUGACGGUACCUAAUCAGAAAGCCACGGCUAACUACGUG
Molecule: ribosomal RNA, 497 nt
Filed under: uncultured bacterium
Lineage: Bacteria
Description: partial 16S ribosomal RNA
Rfam family: Bacterial small subunit ribosomal RNA
Source: RNAcentral